AGUUAUGGUACCACAAGGAUCAACGGCAAAUUCAGCAUUACUGUUAAAGGAUUUGAAUAUGCCAAAUAUGGAGCAAAGGCUUGCAAGGCUAAACUACACAAUGCUCCAAAGGAUUCUAAUUGUGACAUUCCUACAAACCUUUACUGGGGAGUAAAGGGCGCUAACCUAAAAGUGAAGUCAAAGAACCAUUAUGAAGUUGUACUUUAUGCAAAACCAUUUGCUUAUGGCUCUAAGACACCUUAUGCAAAAUGCACAAAACCUCUGCCUACGCCUGCUCCAUACUACUACAAAUCUCCUCCACCUCCAUCGCCGAUUUAUAUUUACAAGUCACCACCUCCAACAACCCCGACAUAUGUUUACAAAUCUCCACCGCCACCAACUAAGUCUUCACCAUCUCCUUAUUACUACAAGUCUCCACCUCCACCAUCACCAAAACCUGCUCCUGUAUACUAUUAUAAAUCACCACCACCUCCAUCAACAUUGCCUCCACCUAC
RNAcentral lists this long non-coding RNA (494 nucleotides) under Nicotiana tabacum (common tobacco). Its description in RNAcentral is "long non-coding RNA (NTAB_LNC009002)". Lineage: Eukaryota; Viridiplantae; Streptophyta; Magnoliopsida; Solanales; Solanaceae. The record is from RNAcentral.